Molecule: long non-coding RNA, 742 nt
Organism: Lepisosteus oculatus (spotted gar)
Lineage: Eukaryota; Metazoa; Chordata; Actinopteri; Semionotiformes; Lepisosteidae
Source: Ensembl
CCAGUACCGAUUGGCAUCCGUGGUUUUAACUGUUGACGUCAUCACUCGGGCUGUUUUACGUUCCGUAAAUGAUAAACCGCUUCGUUUCAAAGGGCUAGAGAGUGGUACACUGUGGUUACAACAUGUUGCAAUUUGUUUCGGGUGGAUUGCAGGAAGACUCGAGGACCUCUGGGUCUGCUGUUCUGGUUGCAUCCACGGGCUCAGAGAUUUCCAAGCCUGCUUCCUUUCAGAAAGCACAGGGAGUGAAGAAAGAAUACCUGUGUCCUUACUGCCAUGUCUGUCUGAGUUCACGCAACUGCCUCUAUAAACACAAGCUUCGGAAGCACCCUGAUAGGGCUCAUGGGGAGAAGAAGAGUGCUAUCGCAUGUCUAGAGUGCAGCAAUUACAGGUGGAGUUUCUAAGACUCAAAAAUUUGAGAGGUUUGUGGGGGGAAACAAAAAAAACUUGAAAGACAAAUAACUGCUCAAGGGCCAUCCAGUGCUUUGAGUUACAUGAUGAGCUUUUGCAAGAAACUUGAAAUAUUGUUACUGCUGAAUUUGGAAAUUUGUGUAUUGUGUGUUUUGUUUCAAUCCAAAUUUAUUUUUAUGAGUAAUUUAGAAACACGUUUCAGCUGCAGCAGUACAGACUGGCUUGCAGAAUGGUCUUAAUAGACGUGGUCAUUCCGGGAAGGCAGAGAACAGCUUCAAGACUUGGUAUUAAUUAAUGAGCAGUACACGGGAGAAAAUGUAAAAUCGUAUUUCAU